RNAcentral lists this ribosomal RNA (457 nucleotides) under Magnusiomyces capitatus. Its description in RNAcentral is "eukaryotic LSU rRNA". The stretch from base 130 to 268 matches the Rfam family "5.8S ribosomal RNA". Lineage: Eukaryota; Fungi; Ascomycota; Dipodascomycetes; Dipodascales; Dipodascaceae. The record is from RNAcentral.
CUUCCGUAGGUGAACCUGCGGAAGGAUCAUUCACAAGAUUAUAUUUUAUAUUACUUUGUGGAACAUUUGGUUGAAUUUACAUGUUUUAUUACAAAAAAUUAAUUAUAAUUAAAAAAAUAAUUUUAAGAAAACCUCCAACAACGGAUCUCUUGGUUCCCAGAUCGAUGAAGAGCGCAGCGAAUUGCGAAAUGUGAUGUGUAUUGCAGUGAAUCAUCAAUUCUUGAACGCACAUGGCACCCCUUUUAGGGGUAUGCUUGUAUGAGGGUGUUUAAUAUGAAAUUGCUUUGGCUUUUUUUAAAUAAAUGGUUUUUCAAAUUGUUACUAAUAGACGAAAGAAUCAGUGCAACAAGCUGUGUUGAAUCUUUCAUUAAAUCUUUUAGUUAACUACUUUAACUAUUUGCACCUCAUAUCAAGCAAGACUACCCGCUGAACUUAAGCAUAUCAAUAAGCGGAGGAA